AAUGAGUGUUUCUUCUCGUUGUUCUGUGCUCCUGUCCUGCACCAUAAGAGCAUGUUCCAGGUCAUCAUGUUCUUUUGACCAGGCUCCGGAAUGAGAGAUGCUUGGAGCUGACCUGAACUGGACCUCUAGAAGCAGAGAUGCUGAGAACAUCUGCAGAUACAUGAUGGAUUGAGCAGUCCCUGAGUCAUAUACUCUACCAGAGAAUGAAUGAUGUCUGGUAAAUAAGCUGAUGAAUCUGACACAUAAAAGUACUGAGGGCCCAGUCAAGGCAAUAUCACUGGCUGUGAAAUGCUGAAGAGAAUCAGUUGAAAGAGAAAGAAGAAUGAAUUGGAAAAGCAAAUACUUCUGUGUUCUACUGUCAAAGGUGAUGCAUUCAAAUAAGGGAUGUUAUGACAGAAAAAACAAAUCUUCCUCAACUUGUCCACAUCAGUUCCAUUCCUUCAUUUAUAGGGAAGCUUGAGGAAUGUUUAGUGAAAUGCUGGCAAAUAGAUUUCAAGAGAAAGUCUAAUUAGUAAUGUUUUUUCUUCUAAGGUAAGUAGAGAAAAAAAGGUAAUUAUGGAAACCCCAAGUUUCGUUCUCAAAUUUAAGCCCAACUUAAAUAUAGUUUAAGGUCUUUCUUCCUUUAAACUCACCACUCUUACUGCUUUUUGAUUUUGUAGUGGUU
RNAcentral lists this long non-coding RNA (664 nucleotides) under Pan troglodytes (chimpanzee). Its description in RNAcentral is "lincRNA". Lineage: Eukaryota; Metazoa; Chordata; Mammalia; Primates; Hominidae. The record is from RNAcentral.